GGGGGGGGCAGAUAUAUGUAGCUCACUGUACACGACACAGGGCAAAGGAAAUCCGUGUUCAGCAACUAUGUUAAAUGCCAUGUACGUAAAUUUUACAACGCUACUCGUUCGAAGCGCGCACAGGUGCAUAUUGAAGAAAAGUUUCCAGGGUAGAUAAUUUAGUUCGUAAUUUACACUAAUUUUGCUCUAACCACGAGACAUAAUAAUUUGAAUAUACUGCACGGAAAAACCUAGAGCGAAUUAAAUUGUGUCAGCUUCGUGUGUAUACAUAUAGUCCUUCCUAUGCAUCAGGUUUUUUGCGUAAUGCAUUAACAGUUGACAGCCUAUCUUAUGAUGUGUACUCUGUUUACAUUACAGUUGUUUAUUAGUUUACUCGUUUGUUUUGCGACUGAUGAAAUGCCGGCAUAUAUAUAUUUUCAACAUUUGACAUAACCCUGGAUGUUUUGCAGGGACAACCCAGGACGUGCAUAUCUCAGCACCCAGUCAACUGCCAAAAGUGACUCAAACACAGGCCACCAGUGGAACUCGGCUGUACCACUGCAGUGCUGCGGAAAUUGCCUUCACCAGCGGCUUUGCAACAGCUGUUUCACAGCAUGUCGGAGACAAUGCCUACGAAAUUAUUGGCCCUGAUCAUGAGAGCCCUCAAGGGGCAAACAACAUCUCUGUUGCAGAAGUGAGCCCGGUACCACUUGGAAGUUACCAUGACAGAUGACACGGCAGCAAUAGAUACAGAGACUGCCACGUCUACUGCAGCUGCAACAGUGUACGAGGCAAGCAGCAGCGCGUCAGCAUCAGCAGCAGUGUCAGAAGGAACCACACCAGGCCUGGUAGAGCAACAUGUGUGCUAUCACUGACUUUUUUUGUAGUGGAUACAACUCAUUUGCUCAACAUACAAAAGCUUUUCACCACGACUGUGAGCCAGUGUUAUUGUGCAGCAAGUGCAAGACUAAGUUAGGUGUUAUAACACAGUACAAGCAUCACUUUAAUAUAUGCAAAUGCAAACAUAUUACAGUUGUUGCCUCCCCAGCCAGCCCACAUAGUGACAACAAUGUGAAACACAUGGUGGGACACACCUCUCCCCCAUUACAAGAUAGUAGAGACUGUCAGUGUUGUUGCUAGAUUGACUGGUCUUUGUAGGCAACUAGAAGGACAACACAGGUGUCAUAAGAUUGUUGAUGUUGUUGAAGAGGUAAAAAAGAAGUUUGAUGCAGCUGAAGUGCCAACUGAUAUUGAGCAAAUCAAAAGCAACCACCUGAGAAAGCAACACUAUCGAAAUUUGGGUAUCUAUGUGCCGCCAACUCUGGUAAGAAUGGCAUAGGACAGAAGUGUGAUGAAAAUCACACAGACACUGCUGUUGCAUCACUGGCCACAGUGAGCAGCGACUUGUAAGGCAAGAGAGUCAACUGAAACUAACAUUAUGAUAUAGUGUCAUG
RNAcentral lists this long non-coding RNA (1433 nucleotides) under Dermacentor andersoni. RNAcentral's name for it is "uncharacterized LOC126530857". Lineage: Eukaryota; Metazoa; Arthropoda; Arachnida; Ixodida; Ixodidae. The record is from RNAcentral.